UAGGGAGGCAGCAGUGGGGAAUCUUAGACAAUGGGCGCAAGCCUGAUCUAGCCAUGCCGCGUGAGUGACGAAGGCCUUAGGGUCGUAAAGCUCUUUCGCCAGAGAUGAUAAUGACAGUAUCUGGUAAAGAAACCCCGGCUAACUCCGUGCCAGCAGCCGCGGUAAUACGGAGGGGGUUAGCGUUGUUCGGAAUUACUGGGCGUAAAGCGUACGUAGGCGGAUUGGAAAGUAUGGGGUGAAAUCCCAGGGCUCAACCCUGGAACUGCCCUGUAAACUAUCAGUCUAGAGUUCGAGAGAGGUGAGUGGAAUUCCAAGUGUAGAGGUGAAAUUCGUAGAUAUUUGGAGGAACACCAGUGGCGAAGGCGGCUCACUGGCUCGAUACUGACGCUCAGGUGCGAAAGCGUGGGGAGCAAACAGGAUUAGAUACCCUGGUAGUCCACGCCGUAAACGAUGUCGACUUGGAGGUUGUGCCCUUGAGGCGUGGCUUCCGGAGCUAACGCGUUAAGUCGACCGCCUGGGGAGUACGGCCGCAAGGUUAAAACUCAAAUGAAUUGACGGGGGCCCGCACAAGCGGUGGAGCAUGUGGUUUAAUUCGAUGCAACGCGAAGAACCUUACCUACUCUUGACAUCCAGAGAACUUAGCAGAGAUGCUUUGGUGCCUUCGGGAACUCUGAGACAGGUGCUGCAUGGCUGUCGUCAGCUCGUGUUGUGAAAUGUUGGGGUUAAGUCCCGCAACGAGCGCAACCCACAUCCUUAGUUGCCAGCAGUUCGGCUGGGCACUCUAGGGAAACUGCCCGUGAUAA
RNAcentral lists this ribosomal RNA (803 nucleotides) under uncultured bacterium. RNAcentral's name for it is "bacterial SSU rRNA". It matches the Rfam family "Bacterial small subunit ribosomal RNA", at positions 341 to 1161 of the family's 1533-position model. The record is from RNAcentral.